AGUGAACGCUGGCGGUAGGCCUAACACAUGCAAGUCGAACGGCAGCACAGUAAGAGCUUGCUCUUACGGGUAGCGAGUGGCGGACGGGUGAGGAAUACAUCGGAAUCUACUUUUUCGUGGGGGAUAACGUAGGGAAACUUACGCUAAUACCGCAUACGACCUACGGGUGAAAGCAGGGGAUCUUCGGACCUUGCGCGAUUGAAUGAGCCGAUGUUGGAUUAGCUAGUUGGCGGGGUAAAGGCCCACCAAGGCGACGAUCCGUAGCUGGUCUGAGAGGAUGAUCAGCCACACUGGAACUGAGACACGGUCCAGACUCCUACGGGAGGCAGCAGUGGGGAAUAUUGGACAAUGGGCGCAAGCCUGAUCCAGCCAUACCGCGUGGGUGAAGAAGGCCUUCGGGUUGUAAAGCCCUUUUGUUGGGAAAGAAAAGCAGCAGGUUAAUACCCCGCUGUUCUGACGGUACCCAAAGAAUAAGCACCGGCUAACUUCGUG
Molecule: ribosomal RNA, 492 nt
Filed under: uncultured bacterium
Lineage: Bacteria
Description: partial 16S ribosomal RNA
Rfam family: Bacterial small subunit ribosomal RNA
Source: RNAcentral